This is a long non-coding RNA of Triticum dicoccoides, 517 nucleotides long. RefSeq lists it as uncharacterized. Lineage: Eukaryota; Viridiplantae; Streptophyta; Magnoliopsida; Poales; Poaceae. The record is from RefSeq and is a predicted model, not a curated record. The transcript has 2 exons.
AAAACAGCUCCUUUGAUGGGUCUAAACCUAAAAAGCACGGACACGCCAGAAUCAGCCGAACUGCCGUCCUGAUACGGCGGGAUACGGGGAUACGCCGGGAUACGCUGGGAUACGCGAACUAAGCCGUGUCCCACGAAUUUCGAUUAAUAAUAAGGAAAAAAUUACAGGGAUACGGUGGGACACGUCUGGGACACGUUUGGGACACGGCCCAGCCCAAAACCAGCCUCGGUCCAACCCAAUACGAAACCCUAUAUGUCUCCCGCACCUUCUCUGUCAUGAGAACGAGGUGCUCCCUCCCAGGUCGUACUGCACGAGCCGCCGCCUCCUGGAUCGACGCCGCCGCCGGCGACGCCUGGAUUCGGCGACCGCUAGCCCCAGCACCAGCAGCCUUUACUCGCAGAUGGAUGCAGCUUGCAAUGACAACAUGGCAUGGGGGGAUGAGGAUCAAUCAAGCACUUGGCAAAAAAGAUUUCUUUCUUAUUAAUUUUCUGUCUUAACUUAAUAUUACAUGCCAUAU